RNAcentral lists this ribosomal RNA (520 nucleotides) under uncultured Glomus. RNAcentral's name for it is "SSU rRNA". It matches the Rfam family "Eukaryotic small subunit ribosomal RNA", at positions 569 to 1093 of the family's 1831-position model. The record is from RNAcentral. Lineage: Eukaryota; Fungi; Glomeromycota; Glomeromycetes; Glomerales; Glomeraceae.
AGCAGCCGCGGUAAUUCCAGCUCCAAUAGCGUAUAUUAAAGUUGUUGCAGUUAAAAAGCUCGUAGUUGAAUUUCGGGACCAAUUUGUUGGUCGUGCCUCGGUACGUACUGGUAUUAUUGGUUUCUCCCUUCUGAAGAACCUCGAUGCCAUUAAUUUGGUGUCGUGGGGAAUCAGGACUGUUACUUUGAAAAAAUUAGAGUGUUUAAAGCAAGCAUACGCUUGAAUACAUUAGCAUGGAAUAAUGAAAUAGGACGUUUGAUUCUAUUUUGUUGGUUUCUAGGAUCGACGUAAUGAUUAAUAGGGAUAGUUGGGGGCAUUAGUAUUCAAUUGUCAGAGGUGAAAUUCUUGGAUUUAUUGAAGACUAACUACUGCGAAAGCAUUUGCCAAGGAUGUUUUCAUUAAUCAAGAACGAAAGUUAGGGGAUCGAAGACGAUCAGAUACCGUCGUAGUCUUAACCAUAAACUAUGCCGACUAGGGAUCGGAUGAUGUAAUUUUUAAUGACUCAUUCGGCGCCUUACGG